AUAGGCUGAAGUGACACUAAACAAUAUGGCUGAUAGGUAUCCGGUAUUCUGUAGGUGUACCCCUUAAUGUUCAGCUGCAUCUUUAAAGGAAGCAAGAUAAACAAAUGAACAAAUGGCAAACUUUGAUCUUCCACCCUGAAGACAGGACCCCUGCACAGCCUGAUUCAUGCUAUUAAGAUUUGUGGUUAAUGGUGUGUGAAAGUAAGUAGAGAACUUGCCAUUGUUGAUGAAAAA
This is a long non-coding RNA of Haliotis rubra (blacklip abalone), 234 nucleotides long. RefSeq lists it as uncharacterized. The record is from RefSeq and is a predicted model, not a curated record. NCBI's taxonomy places the organism in Eukaryota, Metazoa, Mollusca, Gastropoda, Lepetellida, Haliotidae. The transcript is spliced from 2 exons.